Molecule: ribosomal RNA, 301 nt
Filed under: uncultured bacterium
Lineage: Bacteria
Description: partial 16S ribosomal RNA
Rfam family: Bacterial small subunit ribosomal RNA
Source: RNAcentral
CAGUCGCCGCGGUAAUGCGAAGGGUGCAAGCGUUACUCGGAAUUACUGGGCGUAAAACGUGCGUAGGUGGUGGUUUAAGUCCGUUGUGAAAGCCCUGGGCUCAACCUGGGAAUUGCAGUGGAUACUGGGUCACUAGAGUGUGGUAGAGGAUAGUGGAAUUUCCGGUGUAGCAGUGAAAUGCGUAGAGAUCGGAAGGAACAUCUGUGGCGAAGGCGACUAUCUGGGCCAACACUGACACUGAGGCACGAAAGCGUGGGGAGCAAACAGGAUUAGAUACCCCCUAGUCCCUGUCUCUUAUACA